AGUCUAUGGUGGGUUCUUUUUACCAUCUCUCUCUUUGCUUGCUUCAGGCUUAUGUCUUAUGGAGUCAAGGCAGAAAUACUUCUUUCCAGCUUUGGAAGCAAUGGCACUACCUCCCACCCCCAACUCUAGGCGAUGAGUCUGCAGCCAUAUCCUGCCACGUGGUCUCCUCAGGCCCAGCACAACCAUGUUUGAAUGGAUGAUGGAGAACGUCAACUAUGCAUAUCAAAUCUGAGGUCACCAGAAAGCUGUACCAAUGGGUGGGUCAUCUGUGAGCUGACAGAAACGAUCAGCUCUGGAGCCACCACCAACCAGAGAAUCAGCAGACAUAUAUUGUUAGUACCUGGACUUCAUGUGCCUGUGUGAGUUCCUGUGUGAAGCCAAGCAGUUUUCCCAGAAUGGGACCUGGGAGGGGGGGGUAGGUAAAUGUGGGGGUGAGACCAGAUAUUUGCAUCAUAAAAGGUCUCUCUGUUGGAGUGAAGGCUAAGAGUGAGCUAACUGCCUCAUAGAAAGCUUCUAGGUUUUUCCAUAGCUGGGUCUCCAUGGAAAUUAGUUUGCAGCAAGAGAGGAGCUAUUUUAAGGACAAGUAAAGACAGACCUGGUGUCAACAGCUCCUCUCUGUCGCUCUCAAGAAUCACUGCAGAUGCCCUGUAGGACCAGUCAGGAACAGGAACAGAUGCCAGCCGACUCCUGAGAGCCUCUGUCCCCUAUGGCUCGACCCAAGGUGGAGUCUCCUUACCCAAGU
Mus musculus (house mouse) is the source of this 742-nucleotide long non-coding RNA. RefSeq annotates it as predicted gene, 33470. The transcript is spliced from 4 exons. The record is from RefSeq and is a predicted model, not a curated record. Lineage: Eukaryota; Metazoa; Chordata; Mammalia; Rodentia; Muridae.